Cornus florida is the source of this 510-nucleotide long non-coding RNA. RefSeq lists it as uncharacterized. The record is from RefSeq and is a predicted model, not a curated record. NCBI's taxonomy places the organism in Eukaryota, Viridiplantae, Streptophyta, Magnoliopsida, Cornales, Cornaceae. The transcript is spliced from 3 exons.
CGAGGUACAUCACUUCCGCAUAGGAUCCCAUCUCCCGCAAUUACUGUGUUCUUUCGUCACAUCCUCCGUGACUCUCAACUCCACGUACAUAUAUCAAAAGCGAAAUUGGGUUUUGUGAGGAGGUUGUUCAGAUCAUUUGAUCAGAUAAAAUGGGAGGGGGGCAACGGUCAGAAGUCUAGGAUGGCUCGUGACAAGAACUUGGAGAAGAUGAAAGCCCCCAGAGCCAGCUGCAAUCGAACCAAAAAGCCAUCAAUAUCCAGGUACAAGAUUCAAGGUUAGAGGCUCUUAUUAUGCUUGGAUGAUUUGAGGACUCGAAGGGUUUAAUUCUUGUGAAGGUUGGCUUGAAAAGCCAUUUGUAACCUUAUAUGUCAAAUGUGUAUAUUUAGUUCUAAACUUGUAAUUUGUGCCUAAGCGUACUUUUUGAUUCUCAUUUUAUGUAUAUGACAUGAGGCCAAUGGCCAAACUUAUUUUGGAAUCACAUAUAUGUCAUGGAUGUUAAAUUUUCCCUUC